This 497-nucleotide ribosomal RNA is filed under the name uncultured bacterium. Its description in RNAcentral is "partial 16S ribosomal RNA". It matches the Rfam family "Bacterial small subunit ribosomal RNA", at positions 28 to 507 of the family's 1533-position model. The record is from RNAcentral.
GACGAACGCUGGCGGCGUGCCUAAUACAUGCAAGUUGAGCGCUGAAGGUUGGUACUUGUACCGACUGGAUGAGCAGCGAACGGGUGAGUAACGCGUGGGGAAUCUGCCUUUGAGCGGGGGACAACAUUUGGAAACGAAUGCUAAUACCGCAUAAAAACUUUAAACACAAGUUUUAAGUUUGAAAGAUGCAAUUACAUCACUCAAAGAUGAUCCCGCGUUGUAUUAGCUAGUUGGUGAGGUAAAGGCUCACCAAGGCGAUGAUACAUAGCCGACCUGAGAGGGUGAUCGGCCACAUUGGGACUGAGACACGGCCCAAACUCCUACGGGAGGCAGCAGUAGGGAAUCUUCGGCAAUGGACGAAAGUCUGACCGAGCAACGCCGCGUGAGUGAAGAAGGUUUUCGGAUCGUAAAACUCUGUUGGUAGAGAAGAACGUUGGUGAGAGUGGAAAGCUCAUCAAGUGACGGUAACUACCCAGAAAGGGACGGCUAACUACGUG